GUAAAUAUAGUUUAACCAAAACAUUAGAUUGUGAAUCUAAAAA
RNAcentral lists this transfer RNA (43 nucleotides) under Petaurus breviceps (sugar glider). RNAcentral's name for it is "partial tRNA-His". Lineage: Eukaryota; Metazoa; Chordata; Mammalia; Diprotodontia; Petauridae. The record is from RNAcentral.